UACGGGGGGGGCAAGCGUUGUUCGGAAUUACUGGGCGUAAAGGGCUCGUAGGCGGCCAACUAAGUCAGACGUGAAAUCCCCAGGCUCAACCUGGGAACUGCGUCUGAUACUGGAUGGCUUGAAUCCGGGAGAGGGAUGCAGAAUUCCAGGUGUAGCGGUGAAAUGCGUAGAUAUCUGGAGGAACACCGGUGGCGAAGGCGGCAUCCUGGACCAAUUCUGACACUGAGGAGCGAAAGCCAGGGGAGCAAACGGG
RNAcentral lists this ribosomal RNA (253 nucleotides) under uncultured bacterium. RNAcentral's name for it is "partial 16S ribosomal RNA". It matches the Rfam family "Bacterial small subunit ribosomal RNA", at positions 524 to 776 of the family's 1533-position model. The record is from RNAcentral.